GCGGGUGUAGCUCAACUGGUUAGAGCGUCACGUUGCCAACGUGAAGGUUGGGGGUUCGAUUCCCCUCGCCCGCU
Molecule: transfer RNA, 74 nt
Filed under: Candidatus Omnitrophota bacterium
Lineage: Bacteria; Pseudomonadati; Candidatus Omnitrophota
Description: tRNA-Gly
Rfam family: tRNA
About the family: Transfer RNA (tRNA) molecules are approximately 80 nucleotides in length. Their secondary structure includes four short double-helical elements and three loops (D, anti-codon, and T loops). Further hydrogen bonds mediate the characteristic L-shaped molecular structure. tRNAs have two regions of fundamental functional importance: the anti-codon, which is responsible for specific mRNA codon recognition, and the 3' end, to which the tRNAs corresponding amino acid is attached (by aminoacyl-tRNA synthetases). tRNAs cope with the degeneracy of the genetic code in two manners: having more than one tRNA (with a specific anti-codon) for a particular amino acid; and 'wobble' base-pairing, i.e. permitting non-standard base-pairing at the 3rd anti-codon position.
Source: RNAcentral